GAUCGCAGUGACGACUCAUUAAAAUUCAAGCUCAACAGACCGGAUUGCAGGCUUCUCUCUUUUGAGAAUUUUGCUUGCGUGUCGAUCACCCCGCUGAACUGAGCGAUC
RNAcentral lists this small nucleolar RNA (108 nucleotides) under Cephalotus follicularis. RNAcentral's name for it is "Small nucleolar RNA Z107/R87". It matches the Rfam family "Small nucleolar RNA Z107/R87". Rfam says of the family: Z107 and R87 are members of the C/D class of snoRNA which contain the C (UGAUGA) and D (CUGA) box motifs. Most of the members of the box C/D family function in directing site-specific 2'-O-methylation of substrate RNA Lineage: Eukaryota; Viridiplantae; Streptophyta; Magnoliopsida; Oxalidales; Cephalotaceae. The record is from Rfam by way of RNAcentral.